AACGCGAAGAACCUUACCUGGGCUUGACAUGCAUUGUGUCGCCGGUGAAAGCCGGCUAGUGUAGCAAUACACGCUUUGCACAGGUGCUGCAUGGCUGUCGUCAGCUCGUGUCGUGAGAUGUUGGGUUAAGUCCCGCAACGAGCGCAACCCUUGUCCUUAGUUGCCAUCAUUCAGUUGGGAACUCUAAGGAGACCGCCGGUGACAAACCGGAGGAAGGUGGGGAUGACGUCAAGUCAUCAUGGCCUUUAUGGCCAGGGCUACACACGUGCUACAAUGGCAGGUACAGAGGGAAGCCAACGCGCGAGCGGGAGCCAAUCCCAGAAAGCCUGUCGUAGUCCGGAUCGGAGUCUGCAACUCGACUCCGUGAAGUCGGAAUCGCUAGUAAUCGCAGAUCAGCAUUGCUGCGGUGAAUACGUUCCCGGGCCUUGUACACACCGGCUAC
RNAcentral lists this ribosomal RNA (442 nucleotides) under uncultured bacterium. RNAcentral's name for it is "bacterial SSU rRNA". It matches the Rfam family "Bacterial small subunit ribosomal RNA", at positions 958 to 1397 of the family's 1533-position model. The record is from RNAcentral.